GACGAGCUCUCCAAACGUUAUUCGGUAUCACUGGGCUUAAAGAGUUCGUAGGCGGCCUAGCAGGUCAGGUGUGAAAUCCCACAGCUCAACUGUGGAAUAGCACUUGAAACCGCAAGGCUUGAGGGAGAUAGAGGUAAGCGGAACAGAUGGUGGAGCGGUGAAAUGCGUUGAUAUCAUCUGGAACACCGGUGGCGAAAGCGGCUUACUGGGUCUCUUCUGACGCUGAGGAACGAAAGCUAGGGUAGCGAACGGG
RNAcentral lists this ribosomal RNA (253 nucleotides) under uncultured bacterium. RNAcentral describes it as "partial 16S ribosomal RNA". It matches the Rfam family "Bacterial small subunit ribosomal RNA", at positions 524 to 776 of the family's 1533-position model. The record is from RNAcentral.